Molecule: ribosomal RNA, 112 nt
Filed under: uncultured bacterium
Lineage: Bacteria
Description: partial 16S ribosomal RNA
Source: RNAcentral
CGGAGCGACACCGCGUGUGGAUGAAGUCUUUCGGGAUAGUAAACCUACUGGUACGGAGGGGAAAGACAAAAAAGACCGGUACCCUCCAAGAAAGCCCCGGCUAACUACGUGC